GCAAGUCUGGUGCCAGCAGCCGCGGUAAUUCCAGCUCCAAUAGCGUACGUUAAAGUUGCUGCAGUUAAAAGCUCGUAGUUGAACGUUCGGGUUCCGCGGGACGGGGCCGCCCCGCGAGGGACGGCGCCGCCCCGGGGCUCGUGAUAUCUCAUCUCGCCGCCCGUCGCGAGGCGGACGGAGGGAUGGAUGAGGUUACCUGGAAAAAAUCGGGGCGAUCUAGGCGGGCGAACCUCGCCAACGAACGAUCGGACAUGGGAUAACGGAAGAGGGCGUCGGCUCGACUUCGUCGGUUCCUCGGGCCGAGGCACGUACGGUGAAUAGGGACGGUCGGGGCCGCCCGUACCGGGUCGUGAGAGGUGAAAUUCUAGGAUCGACCCGAGACGAACCGCCGCGAAAGCAUUCGGCAAGGACGCUUUCAUUAAUCAAGAACGAAAGUCGGGGG
This 442-nucleotide ribosomal RNA is filed under the name uncultured eukaryote. Its description in RNAcentral is "bacterial SSU rRNA". It matches the Rfam family "Eukaryotic small subunit ribosomal RNA", at positions 555 to 996 of the family's 1831-position model. The record is from RNAcentral.